AUUCCUACGGGAGGCAGCAGUGGGGAAAUUGGGCAAUGGGGGAGACCCUGACCCAGCAACGCCGCGUGAAGGAAGAAGGCCUUCGGGUUGUAAACUUCUUUUAGCAGGGACGAAGAACGUGACGGUACCUGCAGAAAAAGCAACGGCUAACUACGUGCCAGCAGCCGCGGUAAUAAU
This 177-nucleotide ribosomal RNA is filed under the name uncultured bacterium. RNAcentral's name for it is "partial 16S ribosomal RNA". It matches the Rfam family "Bacterial small subunit ribosomal RNA", at positions 335 to 526 of the family's 1533-position model. The record is from RNAcentral.